GACGAACGCUGGCGGCGUGCUUAACACAUGCAAGUCGAACGGAAAGGCCCUUCGGGGUACUCGAGUGGCGAACGGGUGAGUAACACGUGGGUGAUCUGCCCUGCACUUUGGGAUAAGCCUGGGAAACUGGGUCUAAUACCGAAUAGGACCACGCGCUUCAUGGUGUUUGGUGGAAAGCUUUUGCGGUGUGGGAUGGGCCCGCGGCCUAUCAGCUUGUUGGUGGGGUAAUGGCCUACCAAGGCGACGACGGGUAGCCGGCCUGAGAGGGUGACCGGCCACACUGGGACUGAGAUACGGCCCAGACUCCUACGGGAGGCAGCAGUGGGGAAUAUUGCACAAUGGGCGCAAGCCUGAUGCAGCGACGCCGCGUGAGGGAUGACGGCCUUCGGGUUGUAAACCUCUUUCAAUAGGGACGAAGCGCAAGUGACGGUACCCAUAGAAGAAGCACCGGCCAACUACGUG
RNAcentral lists this ribosomal RNA (462 nucleotides) under uncultured bacterium. RNAcentral's name for it is "partial 16S ribosomal RNA". It matches the Rfam family "Bacterial small subunit ribosomal RNA", at positions 28 to 507 of the family's 1533-position model. The record is from RNAcentral.